Molecule: ribosomal RNA, 395 nt
Filed under: uncultured bacterium
Lineage: Bacteria
Description: bacterial SSU rRNA
Rfam family: Bacterial small subunit ribosomal RNA
Source: RNAcentral
AUAUUGGACAAUGGGCGCAAGCCUGAUCCAGCCAUGCCGCGUGAGUGAAGAAGGCCUUAGGGUUGUAAAGCUCUUUCGCCGGGGACGAUAAUGACGGUACCCGGAGAAGAAGCCCCGGCUAACUCCGUGCCAGCAGCCGCGGUAAGACGGAGGGGGCUAGCGUUGUUCGGAAUUACUGGGCGUAAAGCGCACGUAGGCGGUGGUUCAAGUUGGGGGUGAAAUCCCGGGGCUCAACCCCGGAAUUGCCUCCAAGACUGGAUUGCUGGAGUCCGGAAGAGGAGAGCGGAAUUCCCAGUGUAGAGGUGAAAUUCGUAGAUAUUGGGAAGAACACCAGUGGCGAAGGCGGCUCUCUGGUCCGGGACUGACGCUGAGGUGCGAAAGCGUGGGGAGCAAAC